Molecule: ribosomal RNA, 436 nt
Filed under: uncultured bacterium
Lineage: Bacteria
Description: bacterial SSU rRNA
Rfam family: Bacterial small subunit ribosomal RNA
Source: RNAcentral
GAUGAACGCUGGCGGCGUGCCUAAUACAUGCAAGUCGAGCGGUAACACUUCGGGUGACGAGCGGCGGACGGGUGAGUAACGCGUAGAAACGUACCCCAGAGUGAGGGAUAAGCAUCAGAAAUGGUGUCUAAUACCGCAUAACCUCUUCGGAGAAAAGCUUUAUGCGCUUUGGGAACGGUCUGCGUAGGAUUAGCUAGUUGGUAAGGUAAAAGCUUACCAAGGCAAUGAUCCUUAGCUGGUUUGAGAGGAUGAUCAGCCACACUGGAACUGAGACACGGUCCAGACUCCUACGGGAGGCAGCAGUAGGGAAUCUUCCACAAUGGACGAAAGUCUGAUGGAGCAACGCCGCGUGCAGGAUGACACCCUUCGGGGCGUAAACUGCUUUUAUAAGUGAAGAAUAUGACGGUAACUUAUGAAUAAGGAUCGGCUAACUCCG